RNAcentral lists this ribosomal RNA (429 nucleotides) under uncultured bacterium. RNAcentral describes it as "bacterial SSU rRNA". It matches the Rfam family "Bacterial small subunit ribosomal RNA", at positions 355 to 776 of the family's 1533-position model. The record is from RNAcentral.
UGGGGAAUCUUCCGCAAUGGACGAAAGUCUGACGGAGCGACGCCGCGUGAGUGACGAAGGCCCUUGGGUCGUAAAGCUCUGUCAUUGGGGACGAACGGUCACAUCAGGAAAUGGGUGUAAAGUGACGGUACCCGAGAAGGAAGCCACGGCUAACUACGUGCCAGCAGCCGCGGUAAUACGUAGGGGGCGAGCGUUGUCCGGAUUUACUGGGCGUAAAGGGCGUGUAGGCGGUUGGAUAAGUCCGGUGUGAAAUGCUCUGGCUCAACCAGAGCGCUGCGCUGGAUACUGCCUGACUGGAAUUCGGAAGGGGUGACUGGAAUUCCCGGUGUAACGGUGAAAUGUGUAGAUAUCGGGAGGAACACCGGUGGCGAAGGCGACUUUCUGGCCCUAUACUGACGCUGAGACGCGAGAGCGUGGGUAGCAAACAGG